ACACACGAAGGUUGAUGUUUUCUGUGACAUGGACACUGACGGUGGUGGAUGGACAGUGUUUCAACACAGAGUCGAUGGAAGUGUGGAUUUUUUCAAGAAUUUUAGCAGCUAUGAGAAUGGAUUUGGAUCCCUCCAUGGAGAUUUUUGGCUAGGUUUGCGCUAUCUGAACGAAAUGUCGUCACGGCGAAACAACACGUUACGUAUCGAACUGCGAACACCAAACGCAACGAGGUUGUAUGACGUGUACGA
Mya arenaria is the source of this 249-nucleotide long non-coding RNA. RefSeq lists it as uncharacterized. NCBI's taxonomy places the organism in Eukaryota, Metazoa, Mollusca, Bivalvia, Myida, Myidae. The record is from RefSeq and is a predicted model, not a curated record. The transcript has 3 exons.